AUGGCUCUUGUGAAUAGAGUCUCAGGUUUCUCUUCUUGUUCUGUUUCAUCCCAUUUUGGGAAAGCUAAGACCUUUGGGCUUAACCCCAUUUGCUCUCUCAAUUGCACCUCUUCUUCUUCUUCUUCUUCUUCUUCUUCUUCUUCUUCUUCUUCUUCGCCCUUCACUGAGAAGCAUUCCGUUGAGAGGUACCAGAGGGACAGUUGGGUGUACAAUACCCAGGUGGAGGAUGCCUCCUCAUGGAAUCUC
This 246-nucleotide long non-coding RNA is filed under the name Vitis vinifera (wine grape). RNAcentral describes it as "long non-coding RNA (VVIN_LNC004392)". The record is from RNAcentral. Lineage: Eukaryota; Viridiplantae; Streptophyta; Magnoliopsida; Vitales; Vitaceae.